GAUGAACGCUAGCUACAGGCUUAACACAUGCAAGUCGAAGGGAAACGACAUCAAAAGCUUGCUUUUGAUGGGCGUCGACCGGCGCACGGGUGAGUAACGUGUAUCCAACCUGCCCACCACUUGGGGAUAACCUUGCGAAAGUAAGACUAAUACCCAAUGAUAUCUCUAGAAGACAUCUGAAAGAGAUUAAAGAUUUAUCGGUGAUGGAUGGGGAUGCGUCUGAUUAGCUUGUUGGCGGGGUAACGGCCCACCAAGGCUACGAUCAGUAGGGGUUCUGAGAGGAAGGUCCCCCACAUUGGAACUGAGACACGGUCCAAACUCCUACGGGAGGCAGCAGUGAGGAAUAUUGGUCAAUGGACGAGAGUCUGAACCAGCCAAGUAGCGUGCAGGAUGACGGCCCUAUGGGUUGUAAACUGCUUUUAUAAGGGAAUAAAGUGAGUCUCGUGAGACUUUUUGCAUGUACCUUAUGAAUAAGGACCGGCUAAUUCCGUGCCAGCAGCCGCCGUAA
RNAcentral lists this ribosomal RNA (508 nucleotides) under uncultured bacterium. RNAcentral describes it as "partial 16S ribosomal RNA". It matches the Rfam family "Bacterial small subunit ribosomal RNA", at positions 28 to 523 of the family's 1533-position model. The record is from RNAcentral.